RNAcentral lists this ribosomal RNA (573 nucleotides) under Trichoderma hamatum. Its description in RNAcentral is "eukaryotic LSU rRNA". The stretch from base 187 to 340 matches the Rfam family "5.8S ribosomal RNA". Lineage: Eukaryota; Fungi; Ascomycota; Sordariomycetes; Hypocreales; Hypocreaceae. The record is from RNAcentral.
UUACCGAGUUUACAACUCCCAAACCCAAUGUGAACGUUACCAAACUGUUGCCUCGGCGGGGUCACGCCCCGGGUGCGUAAAAGCCCCGGAACCAGGCGCCCGCCGGAGGAACCAACCAAACUCUUUCUGUAGUCCCCUCGCGGACGUAUUUCUUACAGCUCUGAGCAAAAAUUCAAAAUGAAUCAAAACUUUCAACAACGGAUCUCUUGGUUCUGGCAUCGAUGAAGAACGCAGCGAAAUGCGAUAAGUAAUGUGAAUUGCAGAAUUCAGUGAAUCAUCGAAUCUUUGAACGCACAUUGCGCCCGCCAGUAUUCUGGCGGGCAUGCCUGUCCGAGCGUCAUUUCAACCCUCGAACCCCUCCGGGGGGUCGGCGUUGGGGAUCGGGACCCCUCACCGGGUGCCGGCCCUGAAAUACAGUGGCGGUCUCGCCGCAGCCUCUCCUGCGCAGUAGUUUGCACAACUCGCACCGGGAGCGCGGCGCGUCCACGUCCGUAAAACACCCAACUUCUGAAAUGUUGACCUCGGAUCAGGUAGGAAUACCCGCUGAACUUAAGCAUAUCAAUAAGCGGAGGA